CCCUUAGAUGUUCUGGGCAGCACGCGCGCAACAAUGGUCUUCGCAAACGGAUGCAUUCUCGAAGGAGAAUGCCAAUCUUGGAAUCUAUGCCUUGGUCGGGACAGUUGCUUGCAAUUUUUCGACUCGAACCAGGAAUUCCUUGUAAUCGUGAUUCAUCACAUCACGAUGAAUACGUCCCUGCCCUUUGUACACACCGCCCGUCGCUCCUACCGAUCGAAGAGUUAGGUGAAUUGUUUUGAUCGAUAAGAUUUGACUAUGGUCAACUCUCGUUGUGAAAUUCUGUGAAUCUGACUGUUUAGAGGAAGGAAAAGUCGUAACA
Molecule: ribosomal RNA, 319 nt
Filed under: uncultured eukaryote
Lineage: Eukaryota
Description: partial 18S ribosomal RNA
Rfam family: Eukaryotic small subunit ribosomal RNA
Source: RNAcentral